GUAGUGGUCCUCCACCAUGGCAAAAGACUCUAGGUCAUAAUCCAGUUUACAUCACUCCUUGACCUCCUUCGCCAUCCAGUCCAACGGAACUUGUCAGUCUAGGCUCCGCAUGAACACAGCUACAUUCUCCUACUCCCUUCAAGAGGCCGCCAUUUCUUCCUCUGGGAACUCGAGAACAUUGGUGGUGCCGUUGAAGUCUCUCCACUU
Molecule: long non-coding RNA, 207 nt
Filed under: Elaeis guineensis (African oil palm)
Lineage: Eukaryota; Viridiplantae; Streptophyta; Magnoliopsida; Arecales; Arecaceae
Description: long non-coding RNA (EGUI_LNC031823)
Source: RNAcentral